RNAcentral lists this ribosomal RNA (419 nucleotides) under uncultured Prevotella sp. RNAcentral's name for it is "bacterial SSU rRNA". It matches the Rfam family "Bacterial small subunit ribosomal RNA", at positions 358 to 774 of the family's 1533-position model. The record is from RNAcentral. Lineage: Bacteria; Pseudomonadati; Bacteroidota; Bacteroidia; Bacteroidales; Prevotellaceae.
GGAAUAUUGGUCAAUGGGCGAGAGCCUGAACCAGCCAAGUAGCGUGCAGGAAGACGGCCCUAUGGGUUGUAAACUGCUUUUAUACGGGGAUAAAAUGAGGGACGUGUCCCUUAUUGUAGGUACCGUAUGAAUAAGGACCGGCUAAUUCCGUGCCAGCAGCCGCGGUAAUACGGAAGGUCCGGGCGUUAUCCGGAUUUAUUGGGUUUAAAGGGAGCGCAGGCUGAUUGUUAAGCGUGACGUGAAAUGUAGCCGCUCAACGGCUGCACUGCGUCGCGAACUGGCAGUCUUGAGUGAGUACGACGUCAGCGGAAUUCGUGGUGUAGCGGUGAAAUGCUUAGAUAUCACGAAGAACCCCGAUUGCGAAGGCAGCCUGCCAGGUUGUAACUGACGCUAAUGCUCGAAGGUGCGGGUAUCGAACA